AGUGAACGCUGGCGGUAGGCCUAACACAUGCAAGUCGAACGGCAGCACAGUAAGAGCUUGCUCUUACGGGUGGCGAGUGGCGGACGGGUGAGGAAUACAUCGGAAUCUACUUUUUCGUGGGGGAUAACGUAGGGAAACUUACGCUAAUACCGCAUACGACCUACGGGUGAAAGCAGGGGAUCUUCGGACCUUGCGCGAUUGAAUGAGCCGAUGUCGGAUUAGCUAGUUGGCGGGGUAAAGGCCCACCAAGGCGACGAUCCGUAGCUGGUCUGAGAGGAUGAUCAGCCACACUGGAACUGAGACACGGUCCAGACUCCUACGGGAGGCAGCAGUGGGGAAUAUUGGACAAUGGGGGCAAGCCUGAUCCAGCCAUACCGCGUGGGUGAAGAAGGCCUUCGGGUUGUAAAGCCCUUUUGUUGGGAAAGAAAAGCAGCAGGUUAAUACCCCGCUGUUCUGGCGGUACCCAAAGAAUAAGCACCGGCUAACUUCGUG
This 492-nucleotide ribosomal RNA is filed under the name uncultured bacterium. RNAcentral describes it as "partial 16S ribosomal RNA". It matches the Rfam family "Bacterial small subunit ribosomal RNA", at positions 29 to 507 of the family's 1533-position model. The record is from RNAcentral.